Molecule: non-coding RNA, 24 nt
Filed under: Arabidopsis thaliana (thale cress)
Lineage: Eukaryota; Viridiplantae; Streptophyta; Magnoliopsida; Brassicales; Brassicaceae
Source: RNAcentral
GGGCUAGCCCACACGGUUUAUGGU